GUCACGCUGUAAACGAUGUCGAUUUGGAGUUUGUUGCCUAGAGUGAUGGGCUCCGAAGCUAACGCGAUAAAUCGACCGCCUGGGGAGUACGGCCGCAAGGUUAAAACUCAAAUGAAUUGACGGGGGCCCGCACAAGCGGUGGAGCAUGUGGUUUAAUUCGAUGCAACGCGAAGAACCUUACCCGGUCUUGACAUCCAUAGAAUUCUGCAGAGAUGUGGGAGUGCCUUCGGGGACUAUGAGACAGGUGCUGCAUGGCUGUCGUCAGCUCGUGUUGUGAAAUGUUGGGUUAAGUCCCGCAACGAGCGCAACCCUUAUUCUUUGUUGCCAGCGAUUUGGUCGGGAACUCAAAGGAGACUGCCGUUGAUAAAGCGGAGGAAGGUGGGGACGACGUCAAGUCAUCAUGGCCCUUACGACCAGGGCUACACACGUGCUACAAUGGCGUAUACAAAGGGAAGCGAAGGUGCGAGCUGGAGCGGAUCUCAUAAAGUACGUCUAAGUUCGGAUUGGAGUCUGCAACUCGACUCCAUGAAGUCGGAAUCGCUAGUAAUCGUAGAUCAGAAUGCUACGGUGAAUACGUUCCCGGGCCUUGUACACACCGCCCGUCACACCAUGGGAGUGGGUUGCACCAGAAGUAGAUAGCUUAACCGCGAGGGGGGCGUUUACCACGGUGUGAUUCAUGACUGGGGUGAAGUCGUAACAAGGUAACCA
This 708-nucleotide ribosomal RNA is filed under the name uncultured Enterobacteriaceae bacterium. RNAcentral describes it as "bacterial SSU rRNA". It matches the Rfam family "Bacterial small subunit ribosomal RNA", at positions 794 to 1502 of the family's 1533-position model. The record is from RNAcentral. Lineage: Bacteria; Pseudomonadati; Pseudomonadota; Gammaproteobacteria; Enterobacterales; Enterobacteriaceae.